Molecule: non-coding RNA, 73 nt
Organism: Caranx melampygus (bluefin trevally)
Lineage: Eukaryota; Metazoa; Chordata; Actinopteri; Carangiformes; Carangidae
Source: the annotation of a GenBank genome assembly
AGUCCUGUGGUGCAGAGGUUAGGGUGUCGCCUUGGCAACGCCAAGGUUGCAGGUUUGAAUCCUGCCUCAACAG